Non-coding RNA from Prunus mume (Japanese apricot), 4146 nucleotides. The record is from RefSeq and is a predicted model, not a curated record. Lineage: Eukaryota; Viridiplantae; Streptophyta; Magnoliopsida; Rosales; Rosaceae.
AUGGGCGGGGUUGGCAAGACAACCCUUGCCCGAUUGCUUUACAAUGACGAGAAGGUGAAAGUUCAUUUCACAUUUCAAGCUUGGGCUUGUGUUUCAGAAGAUUAUGAUGCUAUUAGGAUAACUAAAACUCUUCUUGAGUCAGUCACUUCAAAGCUUUGUAAUACGACAGAUUUGAAUUUGCUUCAAGUUGAACUAAGAGAACAACUGAGGGGAAGGAAAUUUUUAUUUGUAUUGGAUGACCUAUGGAAUGAGGAUUAUACUGAUUUGAAGUUCCUCCAAACUCCUUUUAUGUCAGGAGCAAGGGGAAGUAAAGUCAUCAUAACAACACGGAACAAAAAUAUAGCAUGUGUCAUGCAAAAUGUUCCUAUUCAAUACUUGGAACCACUGUCACAUGAGGACUGCUGGUUGUUACUUUCAAAACAUGCAUUUGGAAAUGAAAACUGUAGUGCACAUCCAAACUUGGAAGACAUUGGAAAGCAAAUUGCACUCAAGUGCAAAGGGUUGCCUUUAGCUGCACAAACACUUGGGGGUUUGUUACAUUGCAAUAUAGAUUUCGAGUACUGGAGUAGAAUACUAAAUGACAGUUUCUGGGACCAACCCUAUAAUACAACUAACAUUCUUCCGGCUCUAGGAUUGAGUUACCAUUAUCUUCCUGCUCAGUUGAAACGAUGCUUUGCUUAUUGUUCAAUUUUUCCAAAGGAUUAUGAGUUUGAAAAGGAAGAUAUAGUUCAAUUAUGGAUUGCAGAAGGUAUAAUUCCACAAGCUAAGAAUGGAAAAAGGAUAGAAGCAUUGGCUAGAAGAUACUUCGAUGAGUUGGUAUCACGAUCGUUGUUUCAAAAGUCAAGGAAAUUGAGCUUCAUUAUGCAUGAUCUCAUUAAUGACUUGGCUAUGUUCAUGUCUCAGGGGUUUUGCCUUAGGCUCGAAGAUGGGGUAUCUCGUGAAGUUAAAAGAGCUCGUCAUUUGUCAUAUGCUAGGGGAAAAUUUGAUGCUGCUCCAAGAUUUGAACCAUUAUAUGAGGCUAAAUGUUUGCGGACCUUCCUACCUACCUCUUUAAAUCCAUAUAGACAUGAAAGAUUUUUUGUAAGUAAAAAAGUUCUACAAGAUUUGUUGCCAUCACUACGAUGUUUACGGGUGUUAUCAUUGUCACAUUAUCAAAAUGUCACUGAGUUACCUGAUUCUAUUGCAAACCUCAUUCACUUGCGCUACUUGGAUCUUUCCCAUACCGCAAUUGAAAGGUUACCCGGGGUACUUUGCAAUCUCUACAACUUGCAAACAUUACUAUUGUCAAAUUGUUACUCUCUCUUUGAAUUGCCUGCAGACAUUAGAAAAUUGAUUAAUUUACAGAAAUUGAUGUUGGGAGGUUGUAGCUCUCUUAUUAAAUUGCCUGAAGGCAUGAAGGAGUUGAUUAAUUUGCAUCAUCUUGAUGUCAGUGGAACUAAAAUUGAAGAGAUGCCGGUGCAAAUGGGUAGACUGAAAAGUUUGAGAACAUUGACUGCGUUUGUUGUGGGCAAAUCUACUGGGUCAAGCAUAAGAGAACUGAGGGAGUUCCCGCAGAUUCGCGGAAAACUAUCAAUUUUGAAGCUACAAAAUGUAGUUGAUGCCAGGGAUGCACUGCAAGCCAAUAUGAAGCACAAGAAAGAUCUCAAGGAGUUAGUGUUUUCAUGGGGUGCAGAGGAUGCUAAUGAUUCCCAAAAGGAGAAAGAUAUACUCGACAAGCUCCAGCCUUGUGGGAAUUUGGAGAAAUUAACCAUCAGAUUCUAUGGUGGAACCAAUUUUCCGAAUUGGUUAGGAGACUUGUCUUUUUCUAACAUACAAGUCGUGCAUCUCAGUGACUGUAGUUAUUGUUGGUCGCUCCCACCAGUUGGGCGGCUACCGGCACUCAAAGAGCUCUGUAUAGAAAGAAUGAAGUUUGUGAAGACGAUUGGCGUUGAAUUCUAUGGCAGAAAUGGAGCUUAUCUGACUCAGCCAUUUCAAUCUCUGGAGAAGCUGAAGUUUGGGGAGAUGCCAGAGUGGGAGGAAUGGGUACCAAGUGGAAGUGCAAGUGGAGGUGAAUAUGGUCCAGACUUUCCUCAUCUCCAGGAACUGAUUCUAAACAAUUGUCCGAAACUGAGAGGAAGUUUGCCUUGUGAGCUGCCUUGCUUGAAGAAGUUUACGGUGUCUGGGUGUGUGGUUUUACAUGAUGGAAGGGCCACUACCACAACUACCAAUAGUCUUAACUAUAAAUCUCUUGAAGAAUUGAAAAUAGAAGACAAAGCUCUGUUAUCAUUAUUAGAGACAAAGCUCCUGUCCCGACUUGAGAUUGAAAAUGUUGUUGACGUACAGUGCUUGCCCUACUACAAUCGUCUUCAAAGUUUGACUCUUUCGAAUUGUCCAACGCUGUCGUCGUUUCCUAAAGAUGGCCUACCCAGUACGUUGACAUCACUUAAUAUAAACAAUUGUAGGAAAUUAGUAUUCCUACCUCAUGAGAUGUUGGCCAAAUUAACAUCGCUUGACACUCUGCGUAUAUAUCAAAGCUGUGAUUCAAUGAGGUCCUUCCCGUUGGGCAGUUUUCCCAAAUUGACGGCUCUUAGCAUUUGGGAUUGUGAGAAUCUGGAAUCCCUUUCCAUGAUUGAAGAAGAAGGAGCUGUUGAGAAUCUCAGCCAUCUCAAUGACUUGCAAGUCUAUAAAUGUCCAAAAAUGGUGUGUUUUCACGAGGGAGAAUUGCCCACUCCCAACCUGAUUCGGUUUGAAGUCGGUGAAUGCGAGAAUUUGAAGUUCUUGCCCAAACGCCUUCAUGCCCUCACAGCCCUUCGAGGUUUGCAUAUACAGAGUCUUCGGAAUCUGGAGUCAUUUGCAGAAGAUGGGGGUUUGCCUCCCAACCUCCGAUAUUUUGGGAUUGUGAAUUGUGAGCGACUGAGGGCUUCAUCAGUGGGAGAGUACUGGGGUUUGCAAGCACUUGUCUCCCUUGAAAAAUUUCGUAUCAGUGGAAGUGACCAUGUCUUGGAGACGUUGCUCAAAGAACAGGUGCUCCCUACCACUCUUCACACUCUCCGCAUCUAUUCUCUAUCAACUCUGAAAUCUUUGGAUGGAAAGGGUCUUGGACACCUCAAUUCUCUUCAAGUGCUAGAAAUUGACAGCUGUCCAAGUCUGGAAUUCCUGCCAGGAGAGGAACUUCAACACCUCUCUUCUCUUCAGAAUCUAUACAUUUGGAACUGUCCCAGUCUCCAAUGCCUGCCAGUAGAGGGUUUGCCGCCAUCUCUUUCUUAUCUGCGUAUCCUCUUUUGUCCUGCCCUGGAGAAAAGGUAUAAUAAUAAGACGGGACAAGAUUGGGCCAAGAUAUCUCACAUUCCUUGCAUCGAGAUAGGCAACGAAGUGAUCAUAUAAUAUGAGGUAUUCCAUAGUACACUCUCAAGCCUCAACUCUCAAAUCAAAGUCAGAGUUACUUCAGCCGAGUUCAUCGACUUAUUUCGGCAGAAGAAACUCGACGAACCACUGCUCGUGAACCUGAAGACGACACUGUUGCCUUUGUUGGCAGUGCUUCAUGAUGCAGAGGAGAAGCAAACUGUGAACCCUGCUGUGAGAGAGUGCCUUAAAGAUCUCAAGCAUGCUGUCUUUGAUGCAGAGGACUUACUGGAUGAGAUUGACACUGAAGCUUUGCGAUGCAAGCUGGAAGGAUCAGACUAAGCAGGUUCAUACAUUGCAUGCGUCACGUCGUCAGCAUUUCAGAUUGAAAAUGGACCUUGAAUUGUCUUAUGAGCCAAUAGAUUUUUCGAGAUAUCUUAAGCACAGCGGAAAAUUAACGGAUUGAUCUGCACAGAGUCUUAAACAUGGUUCUGUUGGAUGCUGGAAGUGCCUCUUAUUGUCUGUACUUAAUGAUGACAGAAAAGAAAGAGGAGAAGAAUUUCAGAAAUAUCAGAGAAAGAUAAACGGAGAAGACUAGAGAAUUUCUGAGUUUUGAUUUCAAUCAACUGACUCUUACAAAGCAUAGCCCACUCUUAUGUAAACAGAUCACAGAGGGGCAUAACAGACUAACCACACAGCUUAGCUGUCUAACUAAUACACGUGCUAAGUACCAGACUUGUAACAAACUUAUUGACUUGCUAAUCAUAGUUAACAUACUAACCAUAGUUAACAUUUUCCCGACUUAGGUAACUCUCUUAACCUAAG